This is a long non-coding RNA of Pieris brassicae (large cabbage white), 853 nucleotides long. RefSeq lists it as uncharacterized. The record is from RefSeq and is a predicted model, not a curated record. Lineage: Eukaryota; Metazoa; Arthropoda; Insecta; Lepidoptera; Pieridae. The transcript has 4 exons.
AACGUUAAUCGUGCUAUUUUUAUUACAAAUUUACACUUUAUAUAAAAUCAGAAUAAAUUAACUGUGGGUUCACCUACUUCGUGCCUAGAGAAUAACCAAACAAAUAGAUUUAAUUCCAAUAAAUCUUCUUUAAUUGCACUCUUCAUUCUCAAGGUCGUAGGCACAGCUUAUGUCCAAUCUACCCUGUCUUCGACAAGGGAGCACCUGCACCUGGGUGUUGGUGGAUGGUGAUAAACCAACAUUAGGGGUUCCUGCUCCUGCAUAAUCUACGGUUUGGGGUUGGUGAGCUGAGUUCGAGCGACGAAGUACUUCCAUUAACGACAACCCCUACACGGGCCGCCCUACGUCGGUGGUAACUGAUCACAUGGUUAAGAAAGUUGAAUGCCAAACAAUUGGAUCGUCGCGUUACUGUUUUAGUGAUUUAGAAGAUACCGUCAUCCCCGAAGCUCCGUAAGAUCGUGGGCUUUUUCUGGGACAGCCAAGGGCCGUUAAUGAUGUGACUUUCUACGCAGGACAAAUAACUCCUGGCUGAGCGUCGUGGUCAGCAACGAAGGAUCUAGAGGGGACUCUCUGUGGUUCUGUCCAGAGCAUCUCUUAUGACAGUGUAAAGUUUUCAGGACUUGCUCGGCCCAUCUGGUUGGUGAACGGUCACGUGAUUUUUUGUCUUCUGUGUUACCAACCACGCUCAGUUUCUCCAAGUUCUAUAAAUCAAUCAGAAGCCAACGAACCAUUAGAAGCCCCGGCAGAGUCAAAGCCACACAGCGUUCGGGAAAAAACCGGACAAAAUUCGAAAUUCGAAUGCGCAACCACAAUUCUCGUGGGUAAAUCAAUCGGCGUCGCGUGAGGCCGUGUU